RNAcentral lists this ribosomal RNA (406 nucleotides) under uncultured bacterium. RNAcentral describes it as "partial 16S ribosomal RNA". It matches the Rfam family "Bacterial small subunit ribosomal RNA", at positions 30 to 526 of the family's 1533-position model. The record is from RNAcentral.
AUUGAACGCUGGCGGCAGGCCUAACACAUGCAAGUCGAACGAGUGGCGGACGGGUGAGUAAUGUCUGGGAAACUGCCUGAUGGAGGGGGAUAACUACUGGAAACGGUAGCUAAUACCGCAUACCAUCGGAUGUGCCCAGAUGGGAUGAGCUAGUAGGUGGGGUAAAGGCUCCCCUAGGCGACGAUCCCUAGCUGGUCUGAGAGGCUGACCAGCCACACUGGAAAUGGGCCACGGUACAGACUCCUGCGGGAGGCAGCAGGGGGGAGUAUUGCACAAUGGGCGCAAGCCUGAUGAAGCCAUGCCGCGUGUAUGAAGAAGGCCUUCGGGUUGUAAAGUACUUUCAGCGGGGAGGCGUUACCCGCAGAAGAAGCACCGGCUAACUCCGUGCCAGCCGCCGCGGUAAUAC